UGAGGAAUAUUGGUCAAUGGGCGCGAGCCUGAACCAGCCAAGUCGCGUGAGGGAAGACGGUCCUAUGGAUUGUAAACCUCUUUUGUCGGGGAGCAAAGAAGUCACGUGUGACUAAAAGUGAGAGUACCCGAAGAAAAAGCAUCGGCUAACUCCGUGCCAGCAGCCGCGUAAUAGACGACU
Molecule: ribosomal RNA, 180 nt
Filed under: uncultured bacterium
Lineage: Bacteria
Description: partial 16S ribosomal RNA
Rfam family: Bacterial small subunit ribosomal RNA
Source: RNAcentral